GUGUUUUGGCAGCACAUGUAGUAAAAUUAAAAGGGUCCUAAGAAGAUGGGCAUUACCCCUGUGGAAGGAAAUCACGCAAAUUCAUGAAGUGGUUCAUAUUUGG
This is a small nuclear RNA of Erinaceus europaeus (western European hedgehog), 103 nucleotides long. NCBI's taxonomy places the organism in Eukaryota, Metazoa, Chordata, Mammalia, Eulipotyphla, Erinaceidae. The record is from Ensembl.